This 25-nucleotide non-coding RNA is filed under the name Cricetulus griseus (Chinese hamster). The record is from RNAcentral. Lineage: Eukaryota; Metazoa; Chordata; Mammalia; Rodentia; Cricetidae.
GACAAGGAAAAUCAAGGAGAUGAGA